RNAcentral lists this ribosomal RNA (488 nucleotides) under uncultured bacterium. RNAcentral's name for it is "partial 16S ribosomal RNA". It matches the Rfam family "Bacterial small subunit ribosomal RNA", at positions 28 to 507 of the family's 1533-position model. The record is from RNAcentral.
GACGAACGCUGGCGGCGUGCUUAACACAUGCAAGUCGAACGGAAAGGCACUGAUUUUGUGGGGUGCUCGAGUGGCGAACGGGUGAGUAACACGAGAGUAACCUGCCCUUGACUUUGGGAUAACUUCAGGAAACUGGGGCUAAUACCGGAUAGCAGCUCCUGCUGCAUGGUGGGGGUUGGAAAGUUUCGGCGGUCGGGGAUGGACUCGCGGCUGAUCAGCUAGUUGGUGGGGUAGUGGCUUACCAAGGCGAUGACGGGUAGCCGGCCUGAGAGGGUGAUCGGCCACACUGGAGCUGAGACACGGUCCAGAGUCCUACGGGAGGCAGCAGUGGGGAACAUUGGACAGUGGGCGCAAGUCUGAUCCAGCCAUAGCGCGUGGGUGAAGAAGGCCUUCGGGUUGUAAAGCCCUUUUGUUGGGAAAGAAAAGCAGCAGGUUAAUACCCCGCUGUUCUGACGGUACCCAAAGAAUAAGCACCGGCUAACUUCGUG